CAGUGAAGUGCUUUCAUUAGAAAGAGCCCGGUGACAGGUGCUGCAUGGCUGUCGUCAGCUCGUGUCGUGAGAUGUUGGUUAAGUCCCGCAACGAGCGCAACCCUCGCCUUUAGUUGCCAUCAUUGAGUUGGGCACUCUAAAGAGACUGCCGGUGUCAAACCGGAGGAAGGUGGGGAUGACGUCAAGUCCUCAUGGCCUUUAUGACCAGGGCUACACACGUACUACAAUGGCCGGUACAAAGGGCAGCGACACAGCGAUGUGAAGCGAAUCCCGAAAAGCCGGUCUCAGUCCGGAUUGGAGUCUGCAACUCGACUCCAUGAAGUUGGAAUCGCUAGUAAUCGCGGAUCAGCACGCCGCGGUGAAUACGUUCCCGGGCCUU
RNAcentral lists this ribosomal RNA (379 nucleotides) under uncultured Desulfocapsa sp. Its description in RNAcentral is "bacterial SSU rRNA". It matches the Rfam family "Bacterial small subunit ribosomal RNA", at positions 1001 to 1382 of the family's 1533-position model. The record is from RNAcentral. Lineage: Bacteria; Pseudomonadati; Thermodesulfobacteriota; Desulfobulbia; Desulfobulbales; Desulfocapsaceae.